This 433-nucleotide ribosomal RNA is filed under the name uncultured bacterium. Its description in RNAcentral is "partial 16S ribosomal RNA". It matches the Rfam family "Bacterial small subunit ribosomal RNA", at positions 29 to 507 of the family's 1533-position model. The record is from RNAcentral.
AACGAACGCUGGCGGCAUGCCUAACACAUGCAAGUCGAACGAGACCUUCGGGUCUAGUGGCGCACGGGUGCGUAACGCGUGGGAACCUGCCCUUAGGUUCGGAAUAACUCCCCGAAAGGGGUGUUAAUACCGGAUAAUGUCUUCGGACCAAAGAUUUAUCGCCUUUGGAUGGGCCCGCGUUGGAUUAGCUAGUUGGUAGGGUACAAGCCUACCAAGGCGACGAUCCAUAGCUGGUCUGAGAGGAUGAUCAGCCACACUGGGACUGAGACACGGCCCAGACUCCUACGGGAGGCAGCAGUGGGGAAUAUUGGACAAUGGGCGAAAGCCUGAUACAGCAAUGCCGCGUGAGUGAUGAAGGCCUUAGGGUUGUAAAGCUCUUUUACCCGGGAUGAUAAUGACAGUACCGGGAGAAUAAGCUCCGGCUAACUCCGUG